RNAcentral lists this ribosomal RNA (338 nucleotides) under uncultured bacterium. Its description in RNAcentral is "bacterial SSU rRNA". It matches the Rfam family "Bacterial small subunit ribosomal RNA", at positions 330 to 665 of the family's 1533-position model. The record is from RNAcentral.
UCCAGACUCCUACGGGAGGCAGCAGUGAGGAAUAUUGGUCAAUGGGCUUACGCCUGAACCAGCCAAGUCGCGUGAGGGAAGACUGCCCUAUGGGUUGUAAACCUCUUUUGUCAGGGAGCAAUUGGCGCUACGUGUAGCGUUAUCGAGAGUACCUGAAGAAAAAGCAUCGGCUAACUCCGUGCCAGCAGCCGCGGUAAUACGGAGGAUGCGAGCGUUAUCCGGAUUUAUUGGGUUUAAAGGGUGCGUAGGCGGAAUGGCAAGUCAGCGGGAAAAUCGCGGGGCUCAACCUCGGUCCGCCGUUGAAACUGGCGUUCUUGAGUGGGCGAGAAGUAUGCGGA